RNAcentral lists this long non-coding RNA (374 nucleotides) under Bos taurus (domestic cattle). RNAcentral's name for it is "long non-coding RNA NONBTAT007385". Lineage: Eukaryota; Metazoa; Chordata; Mammalia; Artiodactyla; Bovidae. The record is from RNAcentral.
ACAGUUAGAAUGGCCUUUGAGUUGCCCCAAUUGGGUCACGAGGGGAAAGGCUUUAUACUCUGAAUCACUCAGUCACUGGAUCCAGGUGUCAGAUGCAACAGAGUUCUUCAAUGGUAUAAUACCCUACUCCAACAUCCCAGCAUAAGAUGUAUACUACACCAACAAACACGCUCAUUGGAAUGAGGGAGAAAUAAAUAUAAUAUGGUUCUUUGAAGUCAUACUUGAAAAGAGAAUUCUGAAUUAUUCUUUCAAGAGUAUCCUGAUGCAUAUAUCAACCUCAGUGAAUUUGGACUCUUCUCUCUCAGAAUAAUAGAUGUCCCACUACAUUGGAAAUUCCAUUAAAUUACAUAUUAAAUGUACACUAUAACUAACUG